AGAGUUUGAUCCUGGCUCAGGACGAACGCUGGCGGCGUGCUUAACACAUGCAAGUCGAGCGGAAAGGCCCUUCGGGGUACUCGAGCGGCGAACGGGUGAGUAACACGUGAGCAACCUGCCCCUAGCACCGGGAUAGCUCCGGGAAACCGGAAUUAAUACCGGAUAUGACCACAGCAGGCAUCUGCCGUGGUGGAAAGGUU
Molecule: ribosomal RNA, 200 nt
Filed under: uncultured bacterium
Lineage: Bacteria
Description: partial 16S ribosomal RNA
Rfam family: Bacterial small subunit ribosomal RNA
Source: RNAcentral